This is an unclassified non-coding RNA of Pongo abelii (Sumatran orangutan), 248 nucleotides long. It matches the Rfam family "Metazoan signal recognition particle RNA". From Rfam's summary of the family: The signal recognition particle (SRP) is a universally conserved ribonucleoprotein. It is involved in the co-translational targeting of proteins to membranes. The record is from Ensembl. NCBI's taxonomy places the organism in Eukaryota, Metazoa, Chordata, Mammalia, Primates, Hominidae.
GCUGGGCGUGGUGGCUCACGCCUGUAAUCCCAGCACUUUGGGAGGCCAAGGUGGGAAGAUGGCUUGAGCCCAGGAGUUCAAGACCAGCAUGGGCAACAUAGUGAGACCCUGUCUCAAAAUAACUACUUAGUUAAUUAAUUCUUUUUUUAAAAAAGAAGUUUCUUUCUUUUCUGUUUUUAAGAGCUAGGGUCUCACUAUGUUGCCCAGGCUGGCCUUGAACUCCUGGGCUCAAGCGAUCCUCCCACCUU